This 315-nucleotide long non-coding RNA is filed under the name Neogale vison (American mink). RNAcentral's name for it is "Neovison vison (American mink) lncRNA (ENSNVIG00000024443.1)". Lineage: Eukaryota; Metazoa; Chordata; Mammalia; Carnivora; Mustelidae. The record is from RNAcentral.
CUCAUCAGUAGCAAUGGAAACUCUCCAGUUCAAAUCCAAUGAAUAUUAGGGAAGGAACAGUUGAUGACUUGAGUUGAAGAAGAGCUGCUUAAUGUCUGGUCAAAGCUUACAAGCAAUACAGAAAUCUAUGGUUAAAAAGCCACGCACUUCAAUCUACUGCAAGGGGUUAAAAUACAGGAAGAUAGAAAUCUUCUGCAAGGAAGAAUGAAUUUAAGGACUUCUCACUGAGGUGGACAAAGAAAUUUUGUCACUUUGACAGAGCAGGGCAAACCAAGUUGGCAGACAAGUUACCUGAAGAAAAAGAGAGGUAAGGCA